UACCCCACUAUGCUUAGCCCUAAAUCCUGACACUUCCCCAACUAAAGUGUCCGCCUGAGAACUACGAGCACAAACGCUUAAAACUCUAAGGACUUGGCGGUGCCUCAAACCCACCUAGAGGAGCCUGUUCUAUAAUCGAUAACCCACGCUACACCCGACCGCUCUUUGCCCACUCAGCCUACAUACCGCCGUCGCCAGUCCACCUAUCCUGAAAGAACAACAGUGAGCACAACAGCUCUAACCACGCUAAAAAGACAGGUCAAGGUAUAGCUCAUAGAGCGGAAGAAAUGGGCUACAUUUUCUAACCUAGAAAACUACGAAAGAGGGCAUGAAAUCUCCCCCAGAAGGCGGAUUUAGCAGUAAAGUUGAACCACAACGCCACCUUAAAGCUGGCCCCGGGGCACGUACAUACCGCCCGUCACCCUCCUCACAAGCUGUCACCAUGAGUAAUUAACACGCACUCCCGGCCAAAGAUGAGGUAAGUCGUAAC
This 490-nucleotide ribosomal RNA is filed under the name Campylopterus largipennis. RNAcentral describes it as "partial 12S ribosomal RNA". It matches the Rfam family "Bacterial small subunit ribosomal RNA", at positions 783 to 1492 of the family's 1533-position model. The record is from RNAcentral. Lineage: Eukaryota; Metazoa; Chordata; Aves; Apodiformes; Trochilidae.